UACGGGGGAUGCAAGCGUUAUCCGGAUUUAUUGGGCGUAAAGCGAGCGCAGGUGGUUUAUUAAGUCUGGUGUAAAAGGCAGUGGCUCAACCAUUGUAUGCAUUGGAAACUGGUAGACUUGAGUGCAGGAGAGGAGAGUGGAAUUCCAUGUGUAGCGGUGAAAUGCGUAGAUAUAUGGAGGAACACCGGUGGCGAAAGCGGCUCUCUGGCCUGUAACUGACACUGAGGCUCGAAAGCGUGGGGAGCAAACAGG
RNAcentral lists this ribosomal RNA (252 nucleotides) under uncultured bacterium. RNAcentral describes it as "partial 16S ribosomal RNA". It matches the Rfam family "Bacterial small subunit ribosomal RNA", at positions 524 to 776 of the family's 1533-position model. The record is from RNAcentral.